This is a long non-coding RNA of Trifolium pratense (red clover), 143 nucleotides long. RefSeq lists it as uncharacterized. Lineage: Eukaryota; Viridiplantae; Streptophyta; Magnoliopsida; Fabales; Fabaceae. The record is from RefSeq and is a predicted model, not a curated record. The transcript is spliced from 3 exons.
UUCAACUUUCAUAUUUUCAUCCAAAAAGUGCAAGUCUUAUUAUCGUGGUCGUCGGAGGUUGUGGGUUAGGAGCGGAGUUCGUGGGCUAGGAGCGCGCCAAGUAAGAAUCUACUCGGCACCCAACAAAUUCUCGUGGUCAUCGG